This 106-nucleotide small nuclear RNA is filed under the name Dasypus novemcinctus (nine-banded armadillo). The record is from RNAcentral. Lineage: Eukaryota; Metazoa; Chordata; Mammalia; Cingulata; Dasypodidae.
GUGCUAGCGUUGGCAGCACAUAUACUAAAACUGGAAAGAUAUAGAGAAGAUUAGCAUGGCCCUGAGCAAGGAUGACAUGCAAAUUCAUAAAGUGUUCCGUAUUUUA